GACGAACGCUGGCGGCGUGCUUAACACAUGCAAGUCGAACGGAAAGGCCCUGCUUUUGUGGGGUGCUCGAGUGGCGAACGGGUGAGUAACACGAGAGUAACCUGCCCUUGACUUUGGGAUAACUUCAGGAAACUGGGGCUAAUACCGGAUAGGAUCUCCUGCUGCAUGGUGGGGGUUGGAAAGUUUCGGCGGUGGGGGAUGGACUCGCGGCUUAUCAGCUUGUUGGUGGGGUAGUGGCUUACCAAGGCUUUGACGGGUAGCCGGCCUGAGAGGGUUACCGGCCACAUUGGGCCUGAGAUACGGCCCAGACUCCUACGGGAGGCAGCAGUGGGGAAUAUUGCACAAUGGGCGGGAGCCUGAUGCAGCAACGCCGCGUGCGGGAUGACGGCCUUCGGGUUGUAAACCGCUUUCGCCUGUGACGAAGCGUGAGUGACGGUAAUGGGUCAAGAAGCACCGGCUAACUACGUG
RNAcentral lists this ribosomal RNA (468 nucleotides) under uncultured bacterium. Its description in RNAcentral is "partial 16S ribosomal RNA". It matches the Rfam family "Bacterial small subunit ribosomal RNA", at positions 28 to 507 of the family's 1533-position model. The record is from RNAcentral.